UACGUAGGUGACCAGCGUUGUCCGGAUUUACUGGGCGUAAAGAGCGCGCAGGCGGUCGUUCAAGUCGAGUGUGAAAGCCCCCGGCUCAACUGGGGAGGGUCACUCGAUACUGAUCGACUUGAAGGCAGGAGAGGGAAGGGGAAUUCCCGGUGUAGUGGUGAAAUGCGUAGAUAUCGGGAGGAACCCGAGUGGCGAAGGCGGCUUCCUGGCCUGAUCUGACGCUGAGGAGCGAAAGCGUGGGGAGCGAACAGG
This 252-nucleotide ribosomal RNA is filed under the name uncultured bacterium. RNAcentral's name for it is "partial 16S ribosomal RNA". It matches the Rfam family "Bacterial small subunit ribosomal RNA", at positions 524 to 776 of the family's 1533-position model. The record is from RNAcentral.